Molecule: ribosomal RNA, 253 nt
Filed under: uncultured bacterium
Lineage: Bacteria
Description: partial 16S ribosomal RNA
Rfam family: Bacterial small subunit ribosomal RNA
Source: RNAcentral
UACGGGGGGGGCAAGCGUUGUUCGGAAUUACUGGGCGUAAAGGGCUCGUAGGCGGCCAACUAAUUCAUACGUGAAAUCCCUCGGCUUAACCGGGGAACUGCGUCUGAUACUGGAUGGCUUGAGUUCGGGAGAGGGAUGCGGAAUUCCAGGUGUAGCGGUGAAAUGCGUAGAUAUCUGGAGGAACACCGGUGGCGAAGGCGGCAUCCUGGACCGAUACUGACGCUGAGGAGCGAAAGCCAGGGGAGCAAACGGG